UACAGGGUCUCACUCUGUCACCCAGGCUGGAGUGCAGUGGCAAGAUCACAGCUCACUAUAGCCUCAACUUACCAAGGUCAAGUGAUUCUCCCAUCUCCGCCUUUCAAGCAGUUGGGACUAAAGGCACUCGCCACCACACUUGGCUUUUUUUUUUUGUUUGUUUGUUUGCAUUUGUGUAGUAGUACUGGGGUUUCGCCAUGUUGCCCGGCUGGUAUUGAACUCCUGGACUCAAGAGAUCUGCCUGCCUCUGCCUCCCAAAGCGCUGGGAUUACAGGCAUGUACCACCACACCCUGCCCAAGCCCAUUCAUUUAUAAGCCCUGGCUGCGACAUGUUCUCUUAACACAAAGUUGCUGCUUCCAAUUCUGAUGUAUAACGAAGGAGUCAUAAAAAGACACUCGACUCGGCACACAAGGACAAGCCCUCCCAGUCACCAGACCACACGACCUGGAAGACUUCACUUCCCUCCAGGGUCCUCAUUUACAGUGUGGUGACCUCAUUACCCACCUCCCAGGAUAGUUCAUCAUUAAUAAAUGAGCCGUCGCUAGAAUGCCAAGUGCUCCCCACCUGCAGGGGCGCUCCUGUCACCAAGGCCUGAGCUCUGGAGCAUUUGUACAUUUCAUGUGUGGCUGCAUAUGGCAGAAGAAUGUGAGAAUUAGCACACAAUCUUCCAAACCAGACCUAAAUAUGUUUGCGUGUGGUGUCACACAGUUAUGUCUUUUAAGGUCUCAAUUUCCUUCUUUGAGAAAUGACGAAAAUCACAGAGUCUGCCCCUCAUGGUUGUUGUGAGGAUUUAACAUGAUCUUGGACACAAAGUGCUCAGCACAGCACCUGGCACACGGCGACUGCUCAAAGGUGCUGACUGGUGUCCUCUGGUCAUAAGUCACAUGAGCAUUUGGAAACACUGUGUUCCAUUCAUUGAUCUACCACCCUGGAAAAAGAUUUAAAAAUCAAUCAACAAACUGUUCCUGAAAACUUACCAUGGCUUGGCCCUGUACUGGAAGCCAAUAAGACGCACGAGGCGAGGCCCUUGGGCAGUGGCUCAGGCUGUGCAGCACCCAGGCGAACUCCAACCGAUGUGGCCCCAGGGACUCAUGGGGUUAGAUUGCAAAUGGCAGAUCCAAAAUCAUUUUGUAUGUUUUUGGAGGAAACAUUUGUCCCUGAGAUCAUCACUAAAGUGGAAUUUCAUCAACGGUAAUUGCUGGGUACGUCCUUGAUAGACCAGCAAUGCUCAUGCGUGGGUAGCCAUUGUCCUGUGUAUACAGCAUGUGCAGGACUCUUACUUGCUCCCUCCUACUCAGUCUUCAUUGAGAGGGAAGAAAGCGCCCUUGGAGAAGGCCAGAUUUGCAGCCAGAUGCGUGUGAGGCAUGGCUGGGGACCCAGGCAUGGCCGUGUUGGGAUGGCCUGGAGGGAAGUGCCCAGGAGAAUGACAAGAGUCACUUCAUCACUGUCACAGCCAGGAAGUCUCCCUGACCCCACGGCAUGCAGCAUCCCACUAUCAUGGUGAUACAUCUCUGCUGGUUACAUAUGUACCUCCCCCACAGUCUUUGAUCCUGAAUGCACAGCUCUCCCCUAAUCACUAGCCAAGAGGACUCUGCCUGCCUGGUGCUUGAACAAUGUAAGCAAUUUUCCAGACACACUGCCCUCUGAAAUAAUUGAAUGUCACAUGAAAAGGCCAGGAUGUGUUGAUGAGGGCCCAAGUCAACCCCACCAUGGCCAGCAGAAUAACGCAUGGUUAUCUUGGUGACAUCUACCCUGACGUGUCAGUCAUCUGCACCCAUAAGCCAGCACUGGGCGGCUGAAAUACAGACCAUGGAUGAUCCUGUCUGGCCGUUCCCACUACAAACAAGGGACACACGCCCUUUGCGUAGUAUCAUCAGAGUCCUUUGCUAAAGCCAUAAUUGCCUUAAAUAGGAACUGGCAGAAGUGAGGACACAUGAAAUAUGAUUUGAGAAGGUGCCUGGGUUGGGGCCUUACUUGGGGAGAAGAAGUUGAGUUCUAGAUGCUUUAGUGACUUCUGAGUCUGUGUCAGUGUCAGCGCAUUGUCCUUCUCCACUCACGGAAGCUCACAGGCCCUAAACUAAGCUCAGGUGCUGCUGUCCAUCCAAACCCUCCUCACUCCUCUCCUCCUCCUGCCCCUUUGGUCUGACCCAGAUGCGCUCACAGCAUCUUGCCUCACCCUAUCCCUAUGGAUCCUAGGACUGUGAGUGAAACGCCAGUGGCAUCUGAAAGCAUUUAACAUAGAAGCUAGAGCUGCACAGCCGGCCUCGAUUCACACAGCACAGGCUGCUCCGUGGGGUCACACAGGGCCCUCGUGAUAAGAAUACAACCAACAACGGCAUGGUCACCACACUGUAUCAGGAGGGAAUGACUCAACGGUGACUUCCGAGGGUUUGCGGAGGGAGCUUAAACCAUUUCCCAGGAAGGGGGUCGAUCGUGAUCCCAAUGACACAAUCCCGAACUCCAUAAUCCCGAAUGUUGACAUCCCGGAAGAUCAAAAUCUCAACAAGGACAUGGUUCUCCUCGGAGGAUACGUUCACAUUCAUUUCCAUGUGGCUCUGCUCUUCUGGAAUUCUUCUGUGAUUCAACACACAGCUGCAUGAGCCCUCUUCAACCUUCACAUCUUCUGUGCCAUGCGUCCACAUUGUUUUAGGUAUGAGGAAAUCCAUCUGGAUGCUUUCAUACGCAGACCGUGGAUUGGUGGGAACCGCGCUGGCGACAGAACGGCAAAACCGUUGUGUAGGUGUCUUCUUUUUUUUGUUUUCUUUUUUUUUUUCUUUUGAGACGCAGUCUUGCUCUGUCG
RNAcentral lists this long non-coding RNA (2801 nucleotides) under Homo sapiens (human). Its description in RNAcentral is "HSALNT0207180". The record is from RNAcentral. Lineage: Eukaryota; Metazoa; Chordata; Mammalia; Primates; Hominidae.